UAGGGAAUCUUCCACAAUGGACGCAAGUCUGAUGGAGCAACGCCGCGUGAGUGAAGAAGGUCUUCGGAUCGUAAAACUCUGUUGUUAGAGAAGAACACGAGUGAGAGUAACUGUUCAUUCGAUGACGGUAUCUAACCAGCGAGUCACGGCUAACUACGUGCCA
RNAcentral lists this ribosomal RNA (163 nucleotides) under uncultured bacterium. RNAcentral describes it as "partial 16S rRNA". It matches the Rfam family "Bacterial small subunit ribosomal RNA", at positions 355 to 510 of the family's 1533-position model. The record is from RNAcentral.